RNAcentral lists this ribosomal RNA (810 nucleotides) under uncultured archaeon. RNAcentral describes it as "bacterial SSU rRNA". It matches the Rfam family "Archaeal small subunit ribosomal RNA", at positions 112 to 879 of the family's 1478-position model. The record is from RNAcentral.
UCCUCGGACGGUCACCUCGGGAACUGAGGCUAAUAUCCGAUAGAUGGGGAGACCUGGAAUGGUCCCUCGUCAAAACGGGACUAGUGGCAUGCUUGCUAGUUUCGCCUGAGGAUAGGGCCGCGUCCGAUCAGGUCGCUGGUGAGGUAACGGCUCACCAAGCCUAUAACCGGUACGGGCCGUGAGAGCGGUAGCCCGGAGAUGGGCACUGAGAUAAGGGCCCAGGCCCUACGGGGCGCAGCAGGCGCGAAAACUCCGCAAUGCGCGAAAGCGUGACGGGGUCACCCCGAGUGCCGUCCGCUGAGGAUGGCUUUUGCCCGGUUUAACUAGCCAGGUGAAUAAGGGGAGGGCAAGUCUGGUGUCAGCCGCCGCGGUAAUACCAGCUCCCCGAGUGGUUGGGACGAUUAUUGGGUCUGAAGCGUCCGUAGCCGGCCGGAAAAGUUCCCCGUUAAAUCUGGCGAUUCAAUCGUUGGGCUGCGGGGAAUACUCUUCGGCUUGGGGGCGAGGGAGGUCGGCGGUAGUCCUGGGGUAGGGGCGAAAUCCUAUAAUCCCAGGAGGACCACCAGUGGCGAAGGCGGCCGACUAAAACGCGCCCGACGGUGAGGGACGAAAGCUGGGGGAGCGAACGGGAUUAGAUACCCCGGUAGUCCCAGCUGUAAACGAUGCAGGCUAGGUGUUGGGACGGCCACGAGCUGUCCCAGUGCCGCAGGGAAGCCAUUAAGCCUGCCACCUGGGAAGUACGGCCGCAAGGCUGAAUUUUCGAGAUGAUUUCGUCUUGGAACAGUUUACUUAAAGGAAUUGGCGGGGGAGCAC